This 254-nucleotide ribosomal RNA is filed under the name uncultured bacterium. RNAcentral's name for it is "partial 16S ribosomal RNA". It matches the Rfam family "Bacterial small subunit ribosomal RNA", at positions 524 to 777 of the family's 1533-position model. The record is from RNAcentral.
UACGUAGGCAGCAAGCGUUGUUCGGAGUUACUGGGCGUAAAGCGUGCGCAGGCGGUUCGUUAAGUCAGCUGUGAAAGCCCCGGGCUCAACCUGGGAACUGCGGUUGAAACUGGCGAACUAGAAUCUGGCAGAGGGGGGUGGAAUUCCACGUGUAGCAGGUGAAAUGCGUAGAGAUGUGGAGGAACACCGAUGGCGAAGGCAGCCCCCUGGGCUAAGAUUGACGCUCAGGCACGAAAGCGUGGGAGCAAACAGGG